RNAcentral lists this ribosomal RNA (254 nucleotides) under uncultured bacterium. RNAcentral describes it as "partial 16S ribosomal RNA". It matches the Rfam family "Bacterial small subunit ribosomal RNA", at positions 524 to 776 of the family's 1533-position model. The record is from RNAcentral.
UACGUAGGGGGCGAGCGUUGUCCGGAUUUAUUGGGCGUAAAGAGCUCGUAGGCGGUUUGGUAAGUCGGGUGUGAAAUCUCCACGCUCAACGUGGAGGGGCCACUCGAUACUGCCAUGACUCGAGUCCGGUAGAGGAGUGUGGAAUUCCCGGUGUAGCGGUGAAAUGCGCAGAUAUCGGGGGGAACACCCGUGGCGAAGGCGGCACUCUGGGCCGGAACUGACGCUGAGGAGCGAAAGCGUGGGGAGCAAACAGG